This 446-nucleotide ribosomal RNA is filed under the name uncultured bacterium. RNAcentral's name for it is "partial 16S ribosomal RNA". It matches the Rfam family "Bacterial small subunit ribosomal RNA", at positions 338 to 795 of the family's 1533-position model. The record is from RNAcentral.
CCUACGGGCGGUAGCAGUCGAGAAUCAUUCACAAUGGGGGAAACCCUGAUGGUGCGACGCCGCGUGGGGGAAUGAAGGUCUUCGGAUUGUAAACCCCUGUCAUGUGGGAGCAAAUUAAAAAGAUCGUACCACACGAGGAAGAGACUUCUAACUCUGUGCCAGCAGCCGCGGUAAUACAGAGGUCUCAAGCGUUGUUCGGAAUCACUGGGCGUAAAGCGUGCGUAGGCUGUUUCGUAAGUCGUGUGUGAAAGGCGCGGGCUCAACCCGCGGACGGCACAUGAUACUGCGAGACUAGAGUAAUGUAGGGGGAACCGGAAUUCUCGGUGUAGCAGUGAAAUGCGUAGAUAUCGAGAGGAACACUCGUGGCGAAGGCGGGUUCCUGGACAUUAACUGACGCUGAGGCACGAAGGCCAGGGGAGCGAAAGGGAUUAGAUACCCCAGUAGUC